Molecule: ribosomal RNA, 97 nt
Filed under: uncultured bacterium
Lineage: Bacteria
Description: partial 16S ribosomal RNA
Rfam family: Bacterial small subunit ribosomal RNA
Source: RNAcentral
CACACCGCCCGUCACACCACGAAAGCCGGCUGUACCAGAAGUCGCUGCGCGAACCGCAAGGACGCAGGCGCCGAAGGUAUGGUCGGUGAUUGGGGUG